RNAcentral lists this ribosomal RNA (1028 nucleotides) under Agelena silvatica. Its description in RNAcentral is "16S ribosomal RNA". The stretch from base 682 to 982 matches the Rfam family "Archaeal large subunit ribosomal RNA", at positions 2150 to 2716 of the family's 2987-position model. The record is from RNAcentral. Lineage: Eukaryota; Metazoa; Arthropoda; Arachnida; Araneae; Agelenidae.
AAAUUCAAGCAUUUAUAUUUAAUAAAAAUAAUUAUUAUAUAAAUUUACCAAAAAAUAAAACAAAAACUGAAAAGGAAAAAACUAUUUUACAAUAGAAAUUUUAUGUUCCUUUUGUAUCAGGAUUUAUUUAAUCAAUUAAACAUUCAAUUAUCCCGAAAAAUUAUGAUCUAAUAUAUUUAUAAAUUAUUGUAAUAAUAAUAUAAAAAAAACAUAUUAGUAAUUAAACGUUAAACGAAUAAUAAAUAUCUGGUUUUAUAAAAAUAAUCAAACUUAAAUAAAUUAUUAUAUAAUAAAUUAUAAUAAUAAAUUAAAUAAAUAAAAAAAAAUUAAAGGAAUAAUAGUACCAAAAAGUUUCACAACUAUUAUAAAUUAUUCAACAAUUUCAAAUAUUAUAAAAACAUUUAUAAUACAACACAAUAAUAAUAAAAUUAGUAAAUUAACAAAAUUUAAUUCUCAAACUCGGCCAAAAUAAAAUGACUGUUUAACAAAAACAUCUCUAAUAGAAAUAAUUAUUAGUAAAAUCUGCUCAAUGAAAUUUAAAUAGCCGCAACUUUGUUGUGCUAAGGUAGCAUAAUCAUUUGUUUUUUAAUUAAAAACUAGAAUGAAAGAUUUAACAUUUUUAUCUCUAUCAUUAAUAAAUUUAUUUAAAUUUAUCUUAAAUAUAAAAAGAUAUUUAUAAAAUAAAAAGACGACAAGACCCUAUUGAACUUAACUAAAGUUAAACUGGGGCAGUUAAUUAAUUAAUAUUUUAAUUCUUUUUAAUAAAAAAAAAUAACUAAUAAAAUUAAUAUAAUCAAGUUACCAUAGGGAUAACAGCGUAAUUAUUUUCUUAAGCUCUUAUUUAAAAAAUAGUUUGCGACCUCGAUGUUGAAUUAAUUACCUGAUAAAUGCAACAAUUUAAUAAAGGAAGUCUGUUCGACUUUUAAUUAACUACAUGAUUUGAGUUCAGACCGGCGCAAGCCAGGUCGGAUUCUAUCUUUUAUUUAUUUUUUUCCUAGUACGAAAGGACCUGAAAAAAUAUUAAAAAU